Molecule: ribosomal RNA, 229 nt
Filed under: uncultured bacterium
Lineage: Bacteria
Description: partial 16S ribosomal RNA
Rfam family: Bacterial small subunit ribosomal RNA
Source: RNAcentral
UACGCAGGCGGAAAAUUAAGUCAGUAGUGAAAUCCUGCAGCUUAACUGUAGAACUGUUAUUGAUACUGGUUUUCUUGAAUUUAGUUGAGGUAGGCGGAAUGUGUAAUGUAGCGGUGAAAUGCUUAGAUAUUACACAGAACACCGAUUGCGAAGGCAGCUUACUAAGCUAUGAUUGACGCUGAGGUACGAAAGCGUGGGGAGCGAACAGGAUUAGAUACCCUGGUAGUCC